Molecule: long non-coding RNA, 513 nt
Filed under: Carica papaya (papaya)
Lineage: Eukaryota; Viridiplantae; Streptophyta; Magnoliopsida; Brassicales; Caricaceae
Description: long non-coding RNA (CPAP_LNC014117)
Source: RNAcentral
UAUUGGCGUUUCAGAUCAUGGUACAUUCUGGUGCAAUUGGGAUGGAUGGGUAACUUCGACGUACAUACCUCCCUUAAAAUAGUUGCUCGGAGUGAUGGGCAGUUUGGUACUCAAAUCCAAUUACAAAACCAGUACAGUCCGUCAUCAGUCACUGUGAAAUGAUAAUCACUGCUACUAUCACCCAUGGAGCAAAACUUGUUCCUAUGCUCCAAAAGCUCUAUGUCUGUUGCCUGAGCUCCCCAAAGUCUACUAGGGAUAUAGGGUUGUUCCCCUAUCUGUACAAGGUAGAGACUGUAGUCGCGUUGACUUAUUCGAAGUUCUGAAUUAUCUCUAAUAUCUUUCACCUAGAUGUCAGUAGACACUUCAAGGAGGCUCAUUUUUUUCGAUCGGGGGCACCAUGAGCUUUCUUCCUCUACUGAGAUGUUGUAAGAUUGUACAGCACAAUCCUUCAAAAGAUCUAUUCAACGUUCCCGCCUUUGAGUCCAUUCCUCCUUUGAGAAUACUUACUUUAGG